This 3434-nucleotide long non-coding RNA is filed under the name Medicago truncatula (barrel medic). RNAcentral describes it as "long non-coding RNA (MTRU_LNC005247)". Lineage: Eukaryota; Viridiplantae; Streptophyta; Magnoliopsida; Fabales; Fabaceae. The record is from RNAcentral.
GAAGUUCGGAGUUUCACAGGAGAGAGUUGGAAAUUUGGAAGAAACCGUAGGAAAUUUGCUAUGGAAAUACUUUAAGAGUAAAAGACCGUGUCUGUAAAUAUGAAGAAAAUGGUGAAUGAAGAGUCACACAUUUUUUAUGUCUUUAUAUAACAAAGGCAUAAAAUAAUUUAAUUAUAGUUUACCAUAGUUAGAAUAUACUAUGAUAUACAUUUUGACCAAAAUUGAUAUAAUAAUAAUAAAAUACUAUAUAAGAUAAUUUUAUAUUAUUCUUAUUGAAUUUUGGAUACAUUGUACCAAACCGAUAAAUGGGGGGAAUGCAAAAUAAACGGCUCUUUUUUUUAUUUUUGUUCAUUUUGGAUUUAGAGGGAAAAGUAAAUUUUCCUAAUUUUAAAAAGAUUUAACCAUAAAUUUUUUUAAUUUUUAAUUUUAUUCCACGGUGUUGAAAUAUAAGCUAAAAUAUAGAUGGUUAUUAAAUGUUGAAAAUAUAAGCUAAAAUAUAGAUUUUGAAAAGCAUCAAACCCAUAAACUUAGAAAAAAUAAAAUAAUUUUCACAGUGAGGGUUUAGGACAUACAUCCAUAUAAUUUCACCUUAAAACUUCAGGAAGAAUUAAUAUCUACAUUUCAUAGCAAACUAGAGAUAUUUUGCAGGACAUAUUAGUAACCUUUUAUUUGACACACACAAAAAAAAAAAAAAAAAAAAAAAAAAAAAAAAAAAAAUCCUGAAAUCUAUGGUUUGCACCCUCAAUUUGAAAAUAUUGGCUCAAGAUCAACCAUCAAUAUGUUGAUUGGAAAACCCAUAAAUCUAGAAAAGGGAAAAUUAUUUUCACAAUGAGAACCUGUCAACAUUUGACUGGAAAAACAAAUGAAUCGCCAAAGGGAAGUAUCUAUGGGCAUUAGUUUAAAAUCUAAAUGCUUGAUAUAUUUUAAGAAGUUGUCCUUGAAAGAUAGCCAUCCAGUUGAUGGUUGAAAUAUGUUUGUCAUAAUAACAAUACCUCAAUAGUGCAAAAUUUCAUAACUUAAUUUGCCAAUCAUGCAAAAAAUCAUCACAAUCACACAAAAAGAAACAAUCAAAUGACACUUUAGUUGUAUAGAUAUAGAUGAUUAAAUUGAUGUUGGAAUUAUUUUGAGGAAUAAUAAAAUGAUGACACUUGUAUCUUUGGAAAUCAAAUAAGGGAGUUAAUUGGAUUCUAUCUAAUUUAUUCAAGCUCAAUUUAUCGUUAAACUGUUUCUUGUAUAUUGGUUCUAAGAGACCCCUAGUGGAUGGAUGAAGUAUAAGAGUUAUGAUAUUUGCAAGGGAGGUGGAGAGAUAGAAGGAUGAUGAAGCUUGAUUUAAAUUUUGAAGGGAGAUGGAUCAAAGGUUACAUUAGAAAAAUGUUAACUUCUGACACUUUUCAUGUUGAAAUCUAGGGCAUACACCUUAGUUUUGAUUGGAGAGAACUUUUUAUCUCAUUGUAGAAAGUGACUCAAUAAUUAUACAUGCUCGUAUAUAAAUGCAAGAUUAGUGGGGUGGUUCAUGUUUUGUUGCGGCACAUUCAUUGUCUUUUGGCAUUAGAUUGGCAUGUUUCGUUUUGUCACAAUAUGAGGGAAGAAACCAGAGUACUGAUUGGCUAGCUAAUUUUUUGGUUUCUCUAUAUUCCUUUAGUUGUACUAAUGUUGAAGCUCCUCAUAGUGAGAUUCAUAUACUUCUUUUUGCGAUAUUGUCAGGGUUUGCAUGCCUAAGAAUGUCCAUUUUAUUUUGUAGUUUUUUCUUUGGAAUUUGGCCCUCUUUUGUACCAAAAAGAAAAAAGAAUAAACUGAAGACAAGCAUAACAUGGACUCUGAAAAUAUGUAAUAUUUCACAUUUACAAAUUCAUAGAAUUUGAAAUUAUGGCUUAACUCAACCACACAAAACUAGUUUGUAAGGUGAGAAUGUCCACUAAUUAUAAGCAUUACUUUGGCCUUAUUUCUAGGCUAUUUGGGAAUAAAUACACCUCAUCACACCCAGAAUAAUGAAGGCAUUGGAGGUUGCCAUGAAGGAAGCUCCAAGUAGUUGAUAUUAUAGUGACUAGGGGAAGGGCGCAAUUAAGGCGGCUUUCUAACACUACCUCUCACGUACACGACUUUACACCUAGAUCUUGUAAUGUGUGGGUGAUCCAACAAAAGAUCUAUGAUAUUCAUUUACACCAUCUUAGAUAUGCGACCUGGAAUAUAACUUAACCCCACAAAAUUGAAUUGAAAGGCGAAAGCCAAAUGAGCAUUACUUAGGCUAUGUCUUUAGGUGAUUUGAGACUCAACCGCUAGCUAACACCCAAUCAAUAACAAUGAAGAUUUUGAAGACUACAAUGCAUGCAAGACAAAGUUGCCGACAUUACUUUGGCUUUCCAACAUAUGUAAAUUUCCUUAUACACAACAAUCAUAUAAUUGUUUGAAAAGAAUUUCAACAAAGGAAAACAAUGGGAAACGACAAGUCUUCUAUUUUUUUUUUAACCUAUCAAGCAUGGUUCAACUGCAAAUUCAACAUUGAGACUCAAUUUAUAUAUUUUUUUAAUUUAAUCAAAUAGUGAAAAGAAUCUCCUGAAACCAAAUAGGAAAACUAUAAGUGAAUAUUUCAUGCUUCAAUUUUUAAAAAUAUACAUACAACAAUAUGAAAAGCACGGAUAUACAUCAUAAAAAUUAGCAAAAUUAAAAGAUGGAGUAUAUAAGCAUGUGAAACCAUACUUGACGAUGAUCGGGGCAAGCCAUUGGAAACAUUAGACCUCUUAGAAUCAUCUUCGUCACUCGCUUGCUCUGAAUUCUUUGCGGACAUCUUGUCAACUUGCAUCUUUGUGUGAUAUAAGAUUGAGCUUAACCCCUUAGAUCUAGGUAGUAAAUCCAAGAUAGAAGCGCAGAGCAUGUGACCCCAAAAAGGGGAUAACAAGAUCUCGGGUACUGAAAUCGUUUAGAUCACAAAGGAUAGGUUGUAUAACAACAGGGGAGAGAUCGUAAAAAAAAAACGCAUAAAAAUUCAAUGUAAUUGGGGGGAGAUGAAAUGUGUCUUUUGAUGUAUAUUCAAGUAGUAGUUGAUUCCAUUGUCACAAACAAAAAAACAUAUGAUAAGAAAAAAAACCAUAAAACAUGUGAUGAAUGAAAGGAUUUCGGGUUGAAAACGGCGUACACAAAGAGAGAAUGGAAACGAGAAGGUUUCGGGUUGAAAACGGCGUACACAAAGAGAGAAUGGAAACGAGAAGAGAGAAAAGGGUUAGGGUUGUGCAAAAAAACCCAAAUUACCCUUUCAAAGAGUUUAGAUUUUAAGGGCAAAAUUUUGAUUUUAUACGAGUUGGAACCGGGAAUCGGACUACACGAACCAGGAACCCGCUCUCCCACCUGAAGCGGCACUGAACUAUAAGUGGGCUUGGAUUAUCAUUCACGUUGCGAUUUUUCACUAACAUAUGUCACUCCUCCCAAACCACGAAGAG